GAUUAACGCUGGCGGCGUGCAUAACACAUGCAAGUCGAACGAUGAAACUUAACUGAUUUCUUCGGAAUGAUUUUAAGUGGAUUAGUGGCGGACGGGUGAGUAACGCGUGAGUAACCUGCCUUGGAGAAGGGGAUAGCCUUUGGAAACGAAGAAUAAUACCCUAUGAUAUGAUAAUAUCUCAUGAUAUUAUCAUCAAAGAUUUAUCGCUCUAAGAUGGACUUGCGUCUGAUUAGUUAGUUGGUGAGGUAACAGCUCACCAAGGCAGCGAUCAGUAGCCGGCUUGAGAGAGUGUACGGCCACAUUGGGACUGAGACACGGCCCAGACUCCUACGGGAGGCAGCAGUGGGGAAUUAUGCACAAUGGGGGAAACCCUGAUGCAGCGACGCCGCGUGAUUUAGAAGGCCUUCGGGUUGUAAAAAUCUUUUGUAUGGGAAGAAAAUGACAGUACCAUACGAAUAAGGACCGGCUAAUUACGUG
Molecule: ribosomal RNA, 477 nt
Filed under: uncultured bacterium
Lineage: Bacteria
Description: partial 16S ribosomal RNA
Rfam family: Bacterial small subunit ribosomal RNA
Source: RNAcentral